UCUUGUUUCAUUCUUGCAAGAUAAAGAAACAAAACCACCUAUCCUCUCUCCUUCUUAGCCUCUGAAAACUUCAUGAAACCACCAUAAAUUUCUACAAAAUCAACCAGCAAAAUUCAUUUUUGGUGAAAUCAAGUUGUUCCUCUCUUUUCUGGUAUAUAAACCCUUGAAAAAUCAAAGGGGAAGUGUUUGAGAAAGUGGACGGAUUUGGUUUGUUUACAGCGUAGACGAUUCGAAUGUCCCCAAGUUUGUGAUUGAACUGUUUUGUGGUAAUGUACGGGAUGAAAUCUGAAGACGGCCAUUAUGAAGUAGUCUUUUGGGAGCACUUAUGGAGAUCACAUUUGCAUAUGCACCUUGGUUUUGUAUAGUUU
Nicotiana attenuata is the source of this 368-nucleotide long non-coding RNA. RefSeq lists it as uncharacterized. The record is from RefSeq and is a predicted model, not a curated record. The transcript has 3 exons. NCBI's taxonomy places the organism in Eukaryota, Viridiplantae, Streptophyta, Magnoliopsida, Solanales, Solanaceae.